UCCCCUCCAAUAUGGAUGGGCUCAACUUGUAAUUAGCUUUGGACCAGCAGGAUGUCAUGGAAAUGAUGCUUGUGACUUCCAAAACUAAGUCGUAAAAAGCCUUGCAACUUCUGCCAGGGUCUCUUGGAUCACACACUCUGGAGGAAGCCAGGCUAUGUGAGAAGCCCAACUACUCCGCCUCCACCAUGCUGUGAGGAAGUCUCCAUAGCAAGGCCCCAUGGAGAGUGCUGCCUGGCUAGACGCUAGCCCUCCCAGCCAUCCCAGCUAGGGCACCAGACACGUGAGUGACAAGCCAUGUGGGAAGACCUGCCCAGGUAAGGCUCAGGACUCCAGCUUCAGCCACAGUCUAACUGCAAACAAGUGAAAACCACUCAGCUGAGCCCAGUCAGUCCAUGAAAGAGCAAUAAAUUGCUAAUGUAAGCCACUAAGUUUGGGGGUGGAGGUGGUGUUGUAAUGCAGUGAUAGGAAAUUAGAACAGAGGCCCUGGCACGAAAAGCAAGAGGUUUUCAAGGAGUUUCCUGCCCAACAGGCCAAUAGUUUUGAGCAGCGGUUUCUAAACUUAGCUAAGGAAUCCUUUGCCCACUGGAAAUCAUAAUUAGAUCUCUGAUAUGUCAAAGAAACAAAAGCACAGUGGCUCUCUUUUUGAAACAGUGGGAGGCCUGACCAAGCUCUCCUUUUGCCACGUGCCCCUGCAGCAGCCCCCGGGAAAUGAAUGAGCUCUCCACCUGAUCUCCCAGAUCUAACUCUCUCUCUCUCCCUCCCUAAAAAAAUCACAGCAGACUUUGUUCAUCCACACUCCCCUAAUCCAGGGAGAAUCCUGGCCACAGUGUGGAGUUGUGUCCCUAGCAGCCCUGAAAAGUUACAUACUCUGAGGACCUUCCCUUCUUCAGUAGGUAAGCAAGGCCCUGGGUGGCCCCAGUACCCACAUCCUCACUGAUGGGCAACACCCUGCCUUCCUUCUCCAAAGGACAAAGGGUCAUGGUUCAGCAAGCCCUCCUGGGAUGCUAAAAUAACUUUUCUGCCAAGAGACACUGUUAUCAGCCUUUGCUUCUGGCCCCUUUCUGGUGGAGAAGGAAACUAGUAUAUAUGAGGCCUGUUGUCCUA
This 1104-nucleotide long non-coding RNA is filed under the name Homo sapiens (human). RNAcentral describes it as "HSALNT0038922". The record is from RNAcentral. Lineage: Eukaryota; Metazoa; Chordata; Mammalia; Primates; Hominidae.